GACGAACGCUGGCGGCGUGCCUAAUACAUGCAAGUCGAACGCAUUUUCUUUCACCGUAGCUUGCUACACCGAAAGAAAAUGAGUGGCGAACGGGUGAGUAACACGUGGGUAACCUGCCCAUCAGCGGGGGAUAACACUUGGAAACAGGUGCUAAUACCGCAUAAUUCCAUUUACUGCAUGGUAGAUGGAUGAAAGGCGCUUUUGCGGCUCUGAUGGAUGGACCCGCGGUGCAUUAGCUAGUUGGUGGGGUCACGGCCUACCAAGGCUGCGAUGCAUAGCCGACCUGAGAGGGUGAUCGGCCACACUGGGACUGAGACACGGCCCAGACUCCUACGGGAGGCAGCAGUAGGGAAUCUUCGGCAAUGGACGCAAGUCUGACCGAGCAACGCCGCGUGAGUGAAGAAGGGUUUCGGAUCGUAAAACUCUGUUGUUAGAAAAGAACAAGGAUGAGAGUGGAAAGUGCAUACCUUGACGGUAGCUAACCAGAAAGCCACGGCUAACUACGUG
RNAcentral lists this ribosomal RNA (507 nucleotides) under uncultured bacterium. RNAcentral's name for it is "partial 16S ribosomal RNA". It matches the Rfam family "Bacterial small subunit ribosomal RNA", at positions 28 to 507 of the family's 1533-position model. The record is from RNAcentral.